GGACCAAUGAAGUAUGCUAAAAGGACAAACACAAUACAAUAAUGUAUUUAAGAGUCAUUUAAUAGUGAUUCUUAUUUUAGGAAUAGUUUUUUACAAUUUUUUUUUUGUACAUAUUUUUUACAACUCUACGAGAGCUAAAAACUAUUUAAUUGAUAAUAUAGUAUAAGGAGGUAAUGAUAUUUAUAAUUUUUUUUAUGCUCAAUGAUAUUUAUAAAUCAUAAAGUUAUGAUAAAGCUAUUUGUUUUUUUUUUUUUAUCAGAUAAAGCUAUUUGUUAAGGGAGAAAAUAUGUGUAAAAUUGUCAUGUUUGUUCUUAUGAUCAUCUUUCUUUUCAUAUUUUUGGUUUCAAUAGAUGCUGGUAAGCUAUUUUUUAUCUUUUUUAAAUUUUCUUCUUUAAUAUUUAUUUUUUGAUAAAAAACUUUCUUCUUUACUUAUUAUACAAUAUAUUGUUCCAUUUUAGUUAUAUUAUUCUCUUUUUUCAUCAUAUAGGGAGUUUUAAAUGUACCAAUGAUCAUGAUUGUCGAAGAUUGUAUUGUCCCAAACCUCUUGCAAAGAGGUGUAUCGAUUCCUUAUGUAAAUGCAGUAAAUUAGUGUUUGGAUUGGAUUAUGUACCAACACGAUUCAACAUUUAAUGGCAGACCCAAGAGAGUACGCAAAUGUCAUAUAUGGUAGAUAUUUCAUGAGUUGUCAUUUAGAUAUUGAGUUGGUAGAAUAAUGUUAGCAACACACUCUUUAAUAAACACACUCCAACAUACUCUCUUUUAUUGGUUGAAAUUCACAUGGGUCCCAUAAAAAAAUGUGGACCCAUAUAACUUUUAUGGGACCCAUAUAAAUUUUAACCAAUAAAAAAGAGUGUGUUAGAGUGUGUUUGUUAUUGGAGUGUG
Molecule: long non-coding RNA, 882 nt
Filed under: Trifolium pratense (red clover)
Lineage: Eukaryota; Viridiplantae; Streptophyta; Magnoliopsida; Fabales; Fabaceae
Description: long non-coding RNA (TPRA_LNC000174)
Source: RNAcentral